ACGGGAGGCAGCAGUGGGGGAUAUUGCGCAAUGGGGGCAACCCUGACGCAGCAACGCCGCGUGCAGGAAGAAGGUCUUCGGAUUGUAAACUGUUGUCGCAAGGGAAGAAGACAGUGACGGUACCUUGUGAGAAAGUCACGGCUAACUACGUGCCAGCAGCCGCGGUAAUACGUAGGUGACAAGCGUUGUCCGGAUUUACUGGGUGUAAAGGGCGCGUAGGCGGGGUAGCAAGUCAGUCGUGAAAUACCGAGGCUCAACCACGGGGCUGCGAUUGAAACUGUUAUUCUUGAGUAUCGGAGAGGAAAGCGGAAUUCCUAGUGUAGCGGUGAAAUGCGUAGAUAUUAGGAGGAACACCAGUGGCGAAGGCGGCUUUCUGGACUGUAACUGACGCUGAGGCACGAAAGCGUGGGGAGCAAACAGGAUUAGAUACCCUGGUA
This 437-nucleotide ribosomal RNA is filed under the name uncultured Acetivibrio sp. Its description in RNAcentral is "bacterial SSU rRNA". It matches the Rfam family "Bacterial small subunit ribosomal RNA", at positions 341 to 792 of the family's 1533-position model. The record is from RNAcentral. Lineage: Bacteria; Bacillati; Bacillota; Clostridia; Acetivibrionales; Acetivibrionaceae.